UUAAGUUAUUAAGGGCGCACGGUGGAUGCCUUGGCACUAGAAGCCGAUGAAGGACGUUACUAACGACGAUAUGCUUUGGGGAGCUGUAAGUAAGCUUUGAUCCAGAGAUUUCCGAAUGGGGAAACCCAGCAUGAGUUAUGUCAUGUUAUCGAUAUGUGAAUACAUAGCAUAUCAGAAGGCACACCCGGAGAACUGAAACAUCUUAGUACCCGGAGGAAGAGAAAGAAAAUUCGAUUCCCUUAGUAGCGGCGAGCGAAACGGGAAGAGCCCAAACCAACAAGCUUGCUUGUUGGGGUUGUAGGACACUCUGUACGGAGUUACAAAGGACGACAUUAGACGAAUCAUCUGGAAAGAUGAAUCAAAGAAGGUAAUAAUCCUGUAGUCGAAAAUGUUGUCUCUCUUGAGUGGAUCCUGAGUACGACGGAGCACGUGAAAUUCCGUCGGAAUCUGGGAGGACCAUCUCCUAAGGCUAAAUACUCUCUAGUGACCGAUAGUGAACCAGUACCGUGAGGGAAAGGUGAAAAGCACCCCGGAAGGGGAGUGAAAUAGAACCUGAAACCGUGUGCUUACAAGUAGUCAGAGCCCGUUAAUGGGUGAUGGCGUGCCUUUUGUAGAAUGAACCGGCGAGUUGCGAUUUGAUGCAAGGUUAAGCAGUAAAUGUGGAGCCGUAGCGAAAGCGAGUCUGAAUAGGGCGUUUAGUAUUUGGUCGUAGACCCGAAACCAGGUGAUCUACCCUUGGUCAGGUUGAAGUUCAGGUAACACUGAAUGGAGGACCGAACCGACUUACGUUGAAAAGUGAGCGGAUGAACUGAGGGUAGCGGAGAAAUUCCAAUCGAACCUGGAGAUAGCUGGUUCUCUCCGAAAUAGCUUUAGGGCUAGCCUCAAGUGAUGAUUAUUGGAGGUAGAGCACUGUUUGGACGAGGGGCCCCUCUCGGGUUACCGAAUUCAGACAAACUCCGAAUGCCAAUUAAUUUAACUUGGGAGUCAGAACAUGGGUGAUAAGGUCCGUGUUCGAAAGGGAAACAGCCCAGACCACCAGCUAAGGUCCCAAAAUAUAUGUUAAGUGGAAAAGGAUGUGGCGUUGCCCAGACAACUAGGAUGUUGGCUUAGAAGCAGCCAUCAUUUAAAGAGUGCGUAAUAGCUCACUAGUCGAGUGACACUGCGCCGAAAAUGUACCGGGGCUAAACAUAUUACCGAAGCUGUGGAUUGUCCUUUGGACAAUGGUAGGAGAGCGUUCUAAGGGCGUUGAAGCAUGAUCGUAAGGACAUGUGGAGCGCUUAGAAGUGAGAAUGCCGGUGUGAGUAGCGAAAGACGGGUGAGAAUCCCGUCCACCGAUUGACUAAGGUUUCCAGAGGAAGGCUCGUCCGCUCUGGGUUAGUCGGGUCCUAAGCUGAGGCCGACAGGCGUAGGCGAUGGAUAACAGGUUGAUAUUCCUGUACCACCUAUAAUCGUUUUAAUCGAUGGGGGGACGCAGUAGGAUAGGCGAAGCGUGCGAUUGGAUUGCACGUCUAAGCAGUAAGGCUGAGUAUUAGGCAAAUCCGGUACUCGUUAAGGCUGAGCUGUGAUGGGGAGAAGACAUUGNGUCUUCGAGUCGUUGAUUUCACACUGCCGAGAAAAGCCUCUAGAUAGAAAAUAGGUGCCCGUACCGCAAACCGACACAGGUAGUCAAGAUGAGAAUUCUAAGGUGAGCGAGCGAACUCUCGUUAAGGAACUCGGCAAAAUGACCCCGUAACUUCGGGAGAAGGGGUGCUCUUUAGGGUUAACGCCCAGAAGAGCCGCAGUGAAUAGGCCCAAGCGACUGUUUAUCAAAAACACAGGUCUCUGCUAAACCGUAAGGUGAUGUAUAGGGGCUGACGCCUGCCCGGUGCUGGAAGGUUAAGAGGAGUGGUUAGCUUCUGCGAAGCUACGAAUCGAAGCCCCAGUAAACGGCGGCCGUAACUAUAACGGUCCUAAGGUAGCGAAAUUCCUUGUCGGGUAAGUUCCGACCCGCACGAAAGGCGUAACGAUUUGGGCACUGUCUCAACGAGAGACUCGGUGAAAUCAUAGUACCUGUGAAGAUGCAGGUUACCCGCGACAGGACGGAAAGACCCCGUGGAGCUUUACUGUAGCCUGAUAUUGAAAUUCGGCACAGCUUGUACAGGAUAGGUAGGAGCCUUUGAAACGUGAGCGCUAGCUUACGUGGAGGCGCUGGUGGGAUACUACCCUAGCUGUGUUGGCUUUCUAACCCGCACCACUUAUCGUGGUGGGAGACAGUGUCAGGCGGGCAGUUUGACUGGGGCGGUCGCCUCCUAAAAGGUAACGGAGGCGCUCAAAGGUUCCCUCAGAAUGGUUGGAAAUCAUUCAUAGAGUGUAAAGGCAUAAGGGAGCUUGACUGCGAGACCUACAAGUCGAGCAGGGUCGAAAGACGGACUUAGUGAUCCGGUGGUUCCGCAUGGAAGGGCCAUCGCUCAACGGAUAAAAGCUACCCCGGGGAUAACAGGCUUAUCUCCCCCAAGAGUUCACAUCGACGGGGAGGUUUGGCACCUCGAUGUCGGCUCAUCGCAUCCUGGGGCUGUAGUCGGUCCCAAGGGUUGGGCUGUUCGCCCAUUAAAGCGGUACGCGAGCUGGGUUCAGAACGUCGUGAGACAGUUCGGUCCCUAUCCGUCGUGGGCGUAGGAAAUUUGAGAGGAGCUGUCCUUAGUACGAGAGGACCGGGAUGGACAUACCUCUGGUGUACCAGUUGUCGUGCCAACGGCAUAGCUGGGUAGCUAUGUGUGGACGGGAUAAGUGCUGAAAGCAUCUAAGCAUGAAGCCCCCCUCAAGAUGAGAUUUCCCAACUUCGGUUAUAAGAUCCCUCAAAGAUGAUGAGGUUAAUAGGUUCGAGGUGGAAGCAUGGUGACAUGUGGAGCUGACGAAUACUAAUCGAUCGAAGACUUAAUCAA
This 2921-nucleotide ribosomal RNA is filed under the name Staphylococcus aureus. Its description in RNAcentral is "23S ribosomal RNA". It matches the Rfam family "Bacterial large subunit ribosomal RNA". Lineage: Bacteria; Bacillati; Bacillota; Bacilli; Caryophanales; Staphylococcaceae. The record is from RNAcentral.